Molecule: long non-coding RNA, 2039 nt
Organism: Papaver somniferum (opium poppy)
Lineage: Eukaryota; Viridiplantae; Streptophyta; Magnoliopsida; Ranunculales; Papaveraceae
Exons: 9
Source: RefSeq, a predicted model, not a curated record
AGCUUACUUCUGUUGAUUUGAAAUGGAAGGGUUCUCCAAUGGAUUUUGUACAAUUGCUUGAUAGUGACUUAUCCUCUAAAAUUAUGUCGAAUUUGGAUGAUCCAGCUGAUGUUGUUCGUGUUGCUUCUGUUUCGCAUAAUUGUUGUUCGUGAUGUUGAAACAUCAAGCAAUAUUACAGCCAUUGAAGAAAACAAUAUAAUAGAGCCUUUGGAGGUCGAGACAGCCGGUAGUGUGGAAGUGGAGAAGCUGAAGAAGAACCAUCAAAUUUAUGCUUUGCUAGCACGAGGUCUGGCUCCUUCUUUGACAAAAGAAUGCAUUUUCGAGGCUAUAAGUGCGUCUAGCACUGAUCAUUCUCCAGAAGAAAUGAUUCACCUCACUUUGGAACCUAGUGAUAGAGUGUACGGGAGGCCUUCUUACUGGUCAAGUAUGGGAGAGAGUAACCCGGAGGUGCCUCAGACAUUAACUUACAAAUUGGUAACCGAGUUGUGUUUCAUUACUGAGAUCAACAUCCAACUGUUCCAAGUGUUUUUUCGAUGAUGAUUGUCCUGUAUGGGCAUACACUUCAGAAAAGUUUCCGAUGGUUCAGGAAAACUUGCUUGCGAAAGUUCAAGCUACCAGAACCUGUUCUUGCCAUUGGUGUAGUUCUGUAGACUGAACUGUUGGGACGGGUGGUGCUUGCAAUUGAUGACCUAUUCUACUUUUGAUUCUGCUUCUUCUGCUGUUCGUGGCUUAACAGUGGCUGGUGAUAUUUCUCUUCACUGGGAUACUUCAUCUUCUUAUCAAGGGUGUGGCUCUCUACAAAGCUGUUGUUUUGGAUGGAGGCUUCUCAGGAUUUUCCACAGUUGCUCAACCGUGACUUAUCGUUGAAAAUUUUCUCAUACUUGUAUGAACCAGCUGAUGUUGUUCGUGCUAGUUCUGUUUCGCAUUCUUGGCGCAAAUUUGGCUUCAAUAUGAUGUUCUGCAGUGAUCACAAAUGGAGUCUCUAAGAGUCUUUGCUUUAGAUGCUGUCCAGAAACAUCAUGUGCUAUAAAAGCCAUUGAACAUGACAAUAUAAUAGAGCUUUUGGAAGUCGAGACCAACGGUAGUGUGGAAAUGGAGAAGUUGAAGAGAAACCAUCGAGUUUAUGCCUUCCUAGCACGAGGUCUACAUUACUAUGUGACAAGGGAUUGCAUUUCGGAGGCUAUAUGUGUGUCUAGUAAAAAUAAUUAUCUGAAAGAAAAUAUUCACAAUACUUCAGUACUUAAUGGGGGUGCUUCUUACUGGUCAAGUAGAGGAGAGAUUAAUCCUGAUGUGCCUGAGACAUUGACCUAUAAAUUGGUACCGGACUUGCGUUUUAUUACUAAGAUCAGAAUCCAUCUAAUCCAAGCUUUGGCCCAGGCUGUGUGAUUUCGAAUGGGCCAUUUCAGGGAACCAGAAUGAGAGGCUGAUUUUGCAGGUGACUAUAAGCCAUAUCCUACAUCCUUUGAGGAUCACGUUGUAUGGACAUACACCUCAGAAAAGUUUACAUUGGUUCAGGUAUGGUCAGUUCCAUUAUCCAUGAAAUGCAUCAGCCUCUUCCUUUUACCCAUUAUGGAAACAGAUUGAUGGUAUAAUUGAGAGCAGAUUGUAUCUGGAUUCCCCAAGAUUUAACAACUUUGACGGAUUUUACCAUUGGAAGGAAAAUUGCUUACGAACGUCCAGUUUACCAGAACCUGUCUUUGCCAUUGGUGGAUAUUUGCAGGUUGAAUUUUUGGGUCGGCUUCCUGGCUUCUUGCGUGUGUUCGAAGUCUUGGGACGCGCACUCACAGGUGAUUUCAUUCUUGAGCCGAUGGACGAUUUUGGGAAAUACUCUGCUGAAAUAUAAACCAGUUAAAGCUACUGGUGGCAAAUAUUAUGAAUGGGGAGAGUUUGGGGGUGCUGUCAGUGAUAAACCUGUGAUUUAUUGUGUGUGCUUAUGAUGACAGAGACUCUUCUUACCUUACACCUUGUCUCUGUUAGUAAAUUAGUAUGCUGUAUUAUUUGUAACCUAACUGUUAUCGUAAUAUCAUAUUAUGCUUCAA